AAAUUGAAGAGUUUGAUCAUGGCUCAGAUUGAACGCUGGCGGCAGGCCUAACACAUGCAAGUCGAGCGGAAACGACACUAACAAUCCUUCGGGUGCGUUAAUGGGCGUCGAGCGGCGGACGGGUGAGUAAUGCCUAGGAAAUUGCCUUGAUGUGGGGGAUAACCAUUGGAAACGAUGGCUAAUACCGCAUGAUGCCUACGGGCCAAAGAGGGGGACCUUCGGGCCUCUCGCGUCAAGAUAUGCCUAGGUGGGAUUAGCUAGUUGGUGAGGUAAUGGCUCACCAAGGCGACGAUCCCUAGCUGGUCUGAGAGGAUGAUCAGCCACACUGGAACUGAGACACGGUCCAGACUCCUACGGGAGGCAGCAGUGGGGAAUAUUGCACAAUGGGCGAAAGCCUGAUGCAGCCAUGCCGCGUGUAUGAAGAAGGCCUUCGGGUUGUAAAGUACUUUCAGUUGUGAGGAAGGGUGUGUAGUUAAUAACUGC
RNAcentral lists this ribosomal RNA (483 nucleotides) under Vibrio cyclitrophicus 1F289. RNAcentral's name for it is "bacterial SSU rRNA". It matches the Rfam family "Bacterial small subunit ribosomal RNA", at positions 1 to 472 of the family's 1533-position model. The record is from RNAcentral. Lineage: Bacteria; Pseudomonadati; Pseudomonadota; Gammaproteobacteria; Vibrionales; Vibrionaceae.